CCAAUAGCGUAUAUUAAAGUUGUUGCAGUUAAAAAGCUCGUAGUUGAAUUUCGGGAUCAAUAUGUCGGUCGUGCCUUCGGUACGUACUGGCGUUAUUGGUUUCUCCCUUCUGAUGAACCAUGAUGUCAUUAAUUUGGUGUUGUGGGGAAUCAGGACUGUUACUUUGAAAAAAUUAGAGUGUUUAAAGCAGGCUCACGCUUGAAUACAUUAGCAUGGAAUAAUGAAAUAGGACGUUUGAUUCUAUUUUGUUGGUUUCUAGGAUCGACGUAAUGAUUAAUAGGGAUAGUUGGGGGCAUUAGUAUUCAAUUGUCAGAGGUGAAAUUCUUGGAUUUAUUGAAGACUAACUACUGCGAAAGCAUUUGCCAAGGAUGUUUUCAUUAAUCAAGAACGAAAGUUAGGGGAUCGAAGACGAUCAGAUACCGUCGUAGUCUUAACCAUAAACUAUGCCGACUAGGGAUCGGAUGAUGUUAAUUUUUUAAUGACUCAUUCGGCGCCUUACG
RNAcentral lists this ribosomal RNA (500 nucleotides) under uncultured Glomeromycotina. Its description in RNAcentral is "partial small subunit ribosomal RNA". It matches the Rfam family "Eukaryotic small subunit ribosomal RNA", at positions 591 to 1092 of the family's 1831-position model. The record is from RNAcentral. Lineage: Eukaryota; Fungi; Glomeromycota.